This 492-nucleotide ribosomal RNA is filed under the name uncultured bacterium. RNAcentral's name for it is "partial 16S ribosomal RNA". It matches the Rfam family "Bacterial small subunit ribosomal RNA", at positions 29 to 507 of the family's 1533-position model. The record is from RNAcentral.
AGUGAACGCUGGCGGUAGGCCUAACACAUGCAAGUCGAACGGCAGCACAGUAAGAGCUUGCUCUUACGGGUGGCGAGUGGCGGACGGGUGAGGAAUACAUCGGAAUCUACUUUUUCGUGGGGGAUAACGUAGGGAAACUUACGCUAAUACCGCAUACGACCUACGGGUGAAAGCAGGGGAUCUUCGGACCUUGCGCGAUUGAAUGAGCCGAUGUCGGAUUAGCUAGUUGGCGGGGUAAAGGCCCACCAAGGCGACGAUCCGUAGCUGGUCUGAGAGGAUGGUCAGCCACACUGGAACUGAGACACGGUCCAGACUCCUACGGGAGGCAGCAGUGGGGAAUAUUGGACAAUGGGCGCAAGCCUGAUCCAGCCAUACCGCGUGGGUGAAGAAGGCCUUCGGGUUGUAAAGCCCUUUUGUUGGGAAAGAAAAGCAGCAGGUUGAUACCCCGCUGUUCUGACGGUACCCAAAGAAUAAGCACCGGCUAACUUCGUG